AAUGAACGUUGGCGGCGUGGAUUAGGCAUGCAAGUCGAGCGAGAAGUGUCCGGUGCUUGCAUUGGACAUGGAAAGCGGCGAAAGGGAGAGUAACGCGUAGAAUAUCUACCCUCAGGACUGGGAUAGCGUCGGGAAACUGGCGGUAAUACCGGAUAAUGUCCCCGGACCAAAGGUGUGAUUCCGCCUGAGGAUGAUUCUGCGUCCUAUUAGCUUGUUGGUGAGGUAAUGGCUCACCAAGGCUAAGAUGGGUAGCGGGCGUGAGAGCGUGGCCCGUCUCACUGGGACUGAGACACUGCCCAGACACCUACGGGUGGCUGCAGUCGAGAAUCUUCGGCAAUGGGCGAAAGCCUGACCGAGCGACGCCGCGUGCGGGAUGAAGGCCUUCGGGUUGU
RNAcentral lists this ribosomal RNA (392 nucleotides) under uncultured bacterium. Its description in RNAcentral is "bacterial SSU rRNA". It matches the Rfam family "Bacterial small subunit ribosomal RNA", at positions 29 to 426 of the family's 1533-position model. The record is from RNAcentral.